CAAACGACUCUCGACAACGGAUAUCUCGGCUCACGCAUCGAUGAAGAACGUAGCAAAAUGCGAUACUUGGUGUGAAUUGCAGAAUCCCGUGAACCAUCGAGUUUUUGAACGCAAGUUGCGCCCAAAGCCUUUUGGCCAAGGGCACGUCUGCCUGGGCGUCACAC
RNAcentral lists this ribosomal RNA (164 nucleotides) under Lomanthus arnaldii. RNAcentral's name for it is "Senecio arnaldii 5.8S ribosomal RNA". It matches the Rfam family "5.8S ribosomal RNA". Rfam says of the family: 5.8S ribosomal RNA (5.8S rRNA) is a component of the large subunit of the eukaryotic ribosome. It is transcribed by RNA polymerase I as part of the 45S precursor that also contains 18S and 28S rRNA. Functionally, it is thought that 5.8S rRNA may be involved in ribosome translocation. The record is from RNAcentral. RNAcentral also lists the same sequence under 1 other name. Lineage: Eukaryota; Viridiplantae; Streptophyta; Magnoliopsida; Asterales; Asteraceae.